CAAGAGAGAAUGUAUUAUUUUUAUUUUUUAAAAAGUGGUUCAGUAGUUGUUGAACCUUGGAUUAAAUGAUUGUCCACUUGAAUAUAAAUUAUUUAUAAUAUAUCAGGCAAUAAAUUAAACAAUUUAUUUAUUGUUUAUAUUUUUUUUUGUGAAAAGAGAGAGAGAGCAAAGCUUUGACUGUUUGGGGUGCGGUGGCGAACAAUAUUAAAAACAAAAACACAAAAUUAUUUGAGGUUGGAAUUGGUUUUUUUCUUGUUGAUAUCUAUCAUUGAUUUUAUAACAAUCACAAAGUUAAUUGUCAUUUAAUUAUUGUUAAUUAGUUUACAUUUAAUUUAUCAAAAAUGCUUGAUCCAAGAUCAUUGCGUGGUCCACGUUUAAGAAAUAAAUCAAUGCAAUAUGUAGUUUGUGGAUUUCUUGGACUUCUUGGUAUUGCAUUAUAUCAAACAAUAAUUUCACCAUUUAACAAUCCAGAACCUUGGCUUAAAAUCAGAGAGAAGACAUCAAGCCAAAUACCUGCUGAUAAAAGAGUUGAAUAAAAAUACACAAGUCAAAUUAAAAUGAAUUAUAAAUAAUAAAAUUAAUAAAUAUUACGUUA
Aphidius gifuensis is the source of this 595-nucleotide long non-coding RNA. RefSeq lists it as uncharacterized. The record is from RefSeq and is a predicted model, not a curated record. Lineage: Eukaryota; Metazoa; Arthropoda; Insecta; Hymenoptera; Braconidae. The transcript has 3 exons.